This 479-nucleotide ribosomal RNA is filed under the name uncultured organism. Its description in RNAcentral is "partial 16S ribosomal RNA". It matches the Rfam family "Bacterial small subunit ribosomal RNA", at positions 331 to 800 of the family's 1533-position model. The record is from RNAcentral.
GUACACUCCUGCGGGAGGGCAGCAGUGGGGAAUUUUGGACAAUGGGCGAAAGCCUGAUCCAGCAAUGCCGCGUGUGUGAAGAAGGCCUUCGGGUUGUAAAGCACUUUUGUCCGGAAAGAAAUCCUUGGCUCUAAUACAGUCGGGGGAUGACGGUACCGGAAGAAUAAGCACCGGCUAACUACGUGCCAGCAGCCGCGGUAAUACGUAGGGUGCGAGCGUUAAUCGGAAUUACUGGGCGUAAAGCGUGCGCAGGCGGUUUGCUAAGACCGAUGUGAAAUCCCCGGGCUCAACCUGGGAACUGCAUUGGUGACUGGCAGGCUAGAGUAUGGCAGAGGGGGGUAGAAUUCCACGUGUAGCAGUGAAAUGCGUAGAGAUGUGGAGGAAUACCGAUGGCGAAGGCAGCCCCCUGGGCCAAUACUGACGCUCAUGCACGAAAGCGUGGGGAGCAAACAGGAUUAGAAACCCUUGUAGUCCCAUGA